Molecule: ribosomal RNA, 395 nt
Filed under: uncultured bacterium
Lineage: Bacteria
Description: bacterial SSU rRNA
Rfam family: Bacterial small subunit ribosomal RNA
Source: RNAcentral
GUGUCAGCCGCCGCGGUAAUACGUAGGGUGCGAGCGUUGUCCGGAUUUAUUGGGCGUAAAGAGCUCGUAGGCGGUUUGUCGCGUCGGCCGUGAAAUCUCCACGCUUAACGUGGAGCGUGCGGUCGAUACGGGCAGACUUGAGUUCGGUAGGGGAGACUGGAAUUCCUGGUGUAGCGGUGAAAUGCGCAGAUAUCAGGAGGAACACCGGUGGCGAAGGCGGGUCUCUGGGCCGAUACUGACGCUGAGGAGCGAAAGCGUGGGGAGCGAACAGGAUUAGAUACCCUGGUAGUCCACGCUGUAAACGUUGGGCGCUAGGUGUGGGCGACAUCCACGUUGUCCGUGCCGUAGCUAACGCAUUAAGCGCCCCGCCUGGGGAGUACGGCCGCAAGGCUAAA